AACCUGGUUGAUCCUGCCAGUAGCCAUAUGCUCGGUUUUAAGCUUAAGCCAUGCAUGUUGAAGUUUAAGCCUCAAGGCGAAACGGCGGAAGGCUCAUUACAAGUGUUAUAAUCCGUUCGGUACAGUGGUCUUCGGAUACCCGUUGUAUAUCUACGGCCAAUACGAGUUUCUCUCCUUCGGGAGUAACGUGGCGCUUUUGUGGGAAGCGUGUGACGUUGUCGCGCUUUAGCGAUGGACCGACUGGGUUUCACACCUAUCAGCAUGUCGUUACGGUCUGGGCGUAACGGAGCUGUCACAGGUAGCGGAGAAUUAGGGUUUGAUUCCGGAGAGGGAGCCUGAGAGACGGCUGCCACAUCUACGGAUGGCAGCAGGCGCGCAAAUUACCCAAUUUUUGACUAGAGAGGUAGUUAGAAAAACUAGCAGGGUUCGCCUAAUGGUUAGCUUCUGCAAUGAACAGUUUCUAAGGUCCGCUGUGAGGAACAACUGGAGGGCAAGUCUGGUGCCAGCAGCCGCGGUAAUUCCAGCUCCAGUAGCGUAUAUUAAAGUUGUUGCGUUUAAAAAGCUCGUAGUUGGUUGUGCGCUCGCUGGUUGAAGGUACUUGUGCAAUCAUCCGAUGAGUGGUUUUUGGCUUUCAGCCGUGUUCACCGUGAGUAAACUAGGGUGAUCCAAACAGGUUGUGCUCGAAUGUUUCAGCAUGGAAUGUGUCGUUGACUGUCGUGAACGGGUCCUGUACCUUGCGAUCGACUGUAAUCGUCAAGAGGGGCAAUUGAUGGAAUUCGUAUUGAGCUGUCAGAGGUGAAAUUCUUGGACCAACUCACGACGAACGGAUGCGAAAGCUCUUUCCACGCAUGCUCCUUUUAAUCAAGAACGAAAGUUGAGGGAUCGAAGACGAUCAGAUACCGUCGUAGUCUCAACUGUAAACUGUGCCGCCUAGAUGCUGGUUGGAUUGUAU
This 952-nucleotide ribosomal RNA is filed under the name uncultured eukaryote. RNAcentral's name for it is "bacterial SSU rRNA". It matches the Rfam family "Eukaryotic small subunit ribosomal RNA", at positions 1 to 1067 of the family's 1831-position model. The record is from RNAcentral.